RNAcentral lists this unclassified non-coding RNA (203 nucleotides) under Hevea brasiliensis (rubber tree). The record is from RNAcentral. Lineage: Eukaryota; Viridiplantae; Streptophyta; Magnoliopsida; Malpighiales; Euphorbiaceae.
GGGAUUUUGGGAAUUGGGAUGGCUUCCGCUGUGGACGGCUUCUUAUUAUUAAAUUUAAAGCCACACUCUCUCCUCCCUAAACCUACAAACUUCUCUUUGUACUUUGGGAAAAGGGCACCGUCUCUUCAAAUUCGAGCAGAUUCCAUGGCUACUGAGAGGCUGGGGAUCAAAGUUGAGAAGAAUCCACCUGAAUCCAAGCUUAC